RNAcentral lists this ribosomal RNA (888 nucleotides) under Triticum aestivum (bread wheat). RNAcentral describes it as "partial small subunit ribosomal RNA". Lineage: Eukaryota; Viridiplantae; Streptophyta; Magnoliopsida; Poales; Poaceae. The record is from RNAcentral.
AUGGACUCCGCCGAUUGGGGCCUCGAGGCGGUCGUGAGGAGCUGCGGCGGCUCGACCGUAGUUCCCGGCUCGGAGGCAGAGCCAGAGCCUACAGCGGCGCGGGCGCGGGCUCGCCGGGGAGUCGUCACCAGUGUGGUUUCCUCCCUGGAGUUCGUCGGGCGACGGAUGAAGGCGGCAUCCUCCUCGUCGUCGUACGACGUCCUGGAGCCGCCUCGGCCGCCAUUCUCCAUCACGCUGUCGUCGACGUCCCGUGAGCGCAACGUCUUCAUCUCCUUGCUGUCUGCCUUGACGUCCGGGCAGACGCUGCCGGGGAGGAAGCAGACUGGCCGGAAACCGGGCGUUGGCACCCCCACUCCCAGGCAGCGGAAAACAAGCAGGAAGAAGGUGGUGCGGUUGGUGCCGGUCGAACACGGCGGCGUCAACAACGGCACCGUCGACGACCUGUGGGCGUGGCGCAAGUACGGCCAGAAACCUAUCAAGGGCUCCCCGUAUCCUCGAGCGUACUACAAGUGCAGCAGCCUCAGGGCGUGCACGGCGCGGAAGCUGGUGGAUCGCAGCCGGGCCAAGCCCGAGAUGCUCAUCGUCACGUACAUCGACGACCAUUGCCACGCUGUGCCCGUGCCGAUCAACACGCUCCCCGGCACGGCGCACCACCCACCCAAGUCACCGCGCGGCACGACGACGUCAGGCGAGGCGGUCUCAGCCAGGCGCCAGGUGGACGACGCCGACGUAACGUCUUGCAUCGCUGCGGAGUGGGCGGACGACAAGUCCAAGCUCCCGGAACCCGUGGGGCUGGACGAUUUCUUCGGCUCUUUCGACAACACCGUGUUUUCGAGGAAGUGGGCGACCACGUUUGACGACGACAGGUUUCUUCCCUGUAGUUUGUGA